CCUACGGGUGGCAGCAGUGGGGAAUAUUGCACAAUGGGGGAAACCCUGAUGCAGCGACGCCGCGUGAGUGAAGAAGUAAUUCGGUACGUAAAGCUCUAUCAGCAGGGAAGAAACACUGACCAUACGGUCAGCAGACGGUAUCUGAGGAAGAAGCCCCGGCGACCUACGGGCGAGCAGCCGCGGUAAGACGUCGGGGGCAAGCGUUAUCCGGAGUUACUGGGUGGAAAGGGAGCGUAGACGGUGCGCCAAGUCUGGAGGGAAAUGCCGCCGCGUAACGGCGGAACUGCUUUUGAAACUGGCGAACUAGAGUGCGGGAGGGGUAAGCGGAAUUCCUAGUGUAGCGGUGAAAUGCGUAGAUAUUAGGAGGAACACCGGUGGCGAAGGCGGCUUACUGGACCGUAACUGACGUUGAGGCUCGAAAGCGUGGGGAGCAAACAGGAUUAGAUACCCCUGUAGUC
Molecule: ribosomal RNA, 458 nt
Filed under: uncultured bacterium
Lineage: Bacteria
Description: partial 16S ribosomal RNA
Rfam family: Bacterial small subunit ribosomal RNA
Source: RNAcentral